UCGCUCCUACGGGGGGCAGCAGUGAGGAAUAUUGGUCAAUGGUCGGGAGACUGAACCAACCAAGCCGCGUGAGGGAGGAAGGUACAGAGUAUCGUAAACCUCUUUUGUCAGGGAACAAAGACUGGGACGCGUCCCCGGAUGAGUGUACCUGAAGAAAAAGCAUCGGCUAACUCCGUGCCAGCAGCCGCGGUAAUACGGAGGAUGCGAGCGUUAUCCGGAUUUAUUGGGUUUAAAGGGUGCGCAGGCGGUCUGUUAAGUCAGCGGUCAAAGCCCGGGGCUCAACCCCGGCCCGCCGUUGAAACUGG
RNAcentral lists this ribosomal RNA (305 nucleotides) under uncultured bacterium. RNAcentral describes it as "bacterial SSU rRNA". It matches the Rfam family "Bacterial small subunit ribosomal RNA", at positions 333 to 636 of the family's 1533-position model. The record is from RNAcentral.